This 448-nucleotide ribosomal RNA is filed under the name uncultured Acidobacteriaceae bacterium. RNAcentral describes it as "bacterial SSU rRNA". It matches the Rfam family "Bacterial small subunit ribosomal RNA", at positions 8 to 488 of the family's 1533-position model. Lineage: Bacteria; Pseudomonadati; Acidobacteriota; Terriglobia; Terriglobales; Acidobacteriaceae. The record is from RNAcentral.
AGAGUUUGAUCCUGGCUCAGAAUCAACGCUGGCGGCGCGCUUAACACAUGCAAGUCGCACGAGAAAGUGGAGCAAUCCAUGAGUACAGUGGCGUACGGGUGAGUAACACGUGGAUCAUCUACCUCUUGGUGGGGAAUACCCCCGGGAAACUGGGGACAAUACCGCAUAAGCCUGCGAAGGGAAAGCAGCAAUGCGCCGAGAGAGGAGUCCGCGGCCGAUUAGCUAGUUGGCGGGGUAACGGCCCACCAAGGCGAAGAUCGGUAGCCGGCCUGAGAGGGCUCACGGCCACACUGGCACUGAAACACGGGCCAGACUCCUACGGGAGGCAGCAGUGGGGAAUCUUGCACAAUGGAGGAAACUCUGAUGCAGCGACGCCGCGUGAGCGAUGAAGCCCCUCGGGGUGUAAAGCUCUUUCGACGGGAAAGAUAAUGACGGUACCCGAAGAGAG